This 468-nucleotide ribosomal RNA is filed under the name uncultured bacterium. Its description in RNAcentral is "partial 16S ribosomal RNA". It matches the Rfam family "Bacterial small subunit ribosomal RNA", at positions 28 to 507 of the family's 1533-position model. The record is from RNAcentral.
GACGAACGCUGGCGGCGUGCUUAACACAUGCCAGUCGAACGGAAAGGCCCUGCUUUUGUGGGGUGCUCGAGUGGCGAACGGGUGAGUAACACGUGAGUAACCUGCCCUUGACUUUGGGAUAACUUCAGGAAACUGGGGCUAAUACCGGAUAGGAGCUCCUGCUGCAUGGUGGGGGUUGGAAAGUUUCGGCGGUUGGGGAUGGACUCGCGGUUUAUCAGCUUGUUGGUGGGGUAGUGGCUUACCAAGGCUUUGACGGGUAGCCGGCCUGAGAGGGUGACCGGCCACAUUGGGACUGAGAUACGGCCCAGACUCCUACGGGAGGCAGCAGUGGGGAAUAUUGCACAAUGGGCGGAAGCCUGAUGCAGCAACGCCGCGUGCGGGAUGACGGCCUUCGGGUUGUAAACCGCUUUCGCCUGUGACGAAGCGUGAGUGACGGUAAUGGGUAAAGAAGCACCGGCUAACUACGUG